RNA transcript from Eublepharis macularius, 2843 nucleotides. It is a transcript of the gene named sirtuin 3, with no coding region annotated. Lineage: Eukaryota; Metazoa; Chordata; Lepidosauria; Squamata; Eublepharidae. The record is from RefSeq and is a predicted model, not a curated record. The transcript has 9 exons.
AAACAGACAGAACUGUGCUGUGCCCUAUGCUCCAGAUCUUUCUCCAGCUUUCAUUUCAUUGUGCAAGAAGCUAAAGAAGGGGUGGGAGAUGGGAUCAUGACUGCCCCAAGCCCACCCCUGCUGCUGGAACUGUUUAUUCAUGUGGGGCAGUAGACGGAAAGUCACCUGAACAGACGUGGGGCUUCCCUUGAUUAUUUGUUUUUUGCUGUAGGGCUAAGCAACUGAAGAGAAAUGAACUGGAGGUUAAAUUUUAACGUAUCUGCGGGAAGGCAGCUGUUUCAUUCUGUACAUUUUCAGAGAUUAGCAGGAUGGAGGAAUCUCUGCAUCUGCGCUCAACAGCAUCAUUACAGAAGCUCUUCUGCUUCUACAGCUUGCAGAAAUUUAGUUUCAUUGGGAUCUGUCUUCUGUCCCCCAAAUGGAAACUUUUUGCUGAAGAAACCUCCAGAAAACAGCACAGAAAAGCUGGCAAGCGUCUCUGGAGAGAGGAUCCAGGGAGCAAGACAUUUUUCCUUAUCCAGUACUCCAAUGGUGUUCUUUGGAGCUGGCAGAGGGGGAAAUAAUUGUGGAAAGGUGAAAUUCACUCUCAAAGAUGUGACAGAAUUAAUUCAAAAGAAAGAGUGCCACAGGAUAGUAGUGAUGGCUGGAGCAGGGCUUAGCACUCCCAGUGGCAUCCCAGAUUUCCGGUCCCCUAGGAGCGGCCUCUAUGAUAACCUCCAGCAGUAUAAUAUUCCCUAUCCAGAGGCCAUCUUUGAACUUAGCUAUUUCUUCCAGAAUCCGAAGCCUUUCUACAUGUUGGCCAAGGAAUUGUACCCUGGCAGUUACAGGCCCAACUAUACCCACUACUUCCUUCGACUUCUGCUUGACAAAGGGCUUCUACUGCGUCUGUACACACAGAAUAUUGAUGGACUGGAGAGAGUUGCUGGAAUACCUGCAGAUAAACUAGUUGAGGCUCAUGGUACAUUUGCUUCUGCAACAUGUACAGUUUGUCGAAGAUCAUACCCUGGUGAAGACUUUAGGGCAGAUGUGAUGGCUGACAAGAUCCCCCAAUGCCCAAUAUGCACUGGACUCAUCAAGCCUGACAUCGUAUUCUUUGGAGAGGAGCUCCCCCAUCGGUUCUUCUUGCAUGUGACAGAUUUCCCAAUGGCAGACCUGCUCUUUGUCAUUGGAACCUCCCUUGAGGUGGAACCUUUUGCCAGUCUAGCAGGUGCAGUUCGAAGCUCCGUUCCACGCUUAUUGAUCAAUCGGGACUUGGUGGGUCCAUUUGCAUAUCAGCCACAAUACAGUGAUGUAGCUGAACUGGGAGAUGUUGUCAGUGGAGUCGAGAAGGUGGUGGCUCUUUUGGGCUGGAAGGAGGAGUUGCAGGAACUAAUCAAGAAGGAAACCGAAAAGUUGGAUGCAAAAGACAAAUAGGAACUCUGACCUCUGCUGCUGAAAAUAUUUGUCUCCUAAAAGAACUGUCAGCCCAGUUGAAUGUUGCGCUUAUAAAAGCAGAGACAUGGAGGUUGCCUGAGGCAUUUUUCGUCCUUCAAAUAAUUGUCCCACUUACAUACAGGAAGUUUUGCUGAAUUCUCGGAACAUCAAUGAGUUGAAAACUUUUUCUUUGAAAUAUAAACAGACUUUAGCGAGUCUUCUCAUAUUACAAAAAUUUUGAUUAGUAAAUGGAAGAGAGGUGUCACUUGUAAUAUCACCAUUCAUGUGCCCUGGGUCCAGUUACAUUACAGCUUAUAUCGGAUAUAUUAAAUCCAUUUUGGUUUUGGUUUUUUGUACAGCAUCAAUAGAUACAUUGCAAGAAACAGCAAGGCCCCAGUCUAUGCAGAGCCCCACAUAUAUUUUCUAAAUUGUGACAAUCAGCUGUUGGAAAAGGAAAGGGGGAAGUUUAGCCAGCCCCAUAGAUACAUCCCAAACAGUUGAUCAACAUUAAGAGUGUUUCUAACUGAGAUUUCUGUGUACAUAUGGCUCCAUAUGGAAUCAUAACAAAAAGAUUGUUUGUGAAACACCUUUUGUUAUUACAGUAGUACAGUAAAACUGAACUCGAAUCAAUACACUUGGAUACAAAACAUCCACACUAAGUGCUAAGUUAAAUUCUGUGCUUUUAAUUACUCCCCAAGUCAAAGUCAUGUAAACCUGAGAUUACCUGAUUCUUGUGCUUUUAGUAAGACAGACAAGUCCCCUCCGCCCCCACAAGCUGGAAGAGCAAUACUGAUUUCUCUCCAAUUAGCAUCUUACCUUAGAUACUAGAUUAAAACAAAUUAUUUCCUGAAGUGGCCAGGAAGUCUUUGCAAAGAGCCUCUAAUAGCACAUUUAAAUGACUAGAUUUGUUUAUCUGGAUAUAUGAUUUAAAUAUUGGAUCUUGAGUAGGUAAGUCAUUCAAACAAGGUAAUGAAACAGCACACCUGUUUGUACUCAUUAUCCAUUAAAGCACAGAAAACUUAUUGAGAUAAGAGUAUUCAUUGCCUUCAGUUUCAAAACUGAUCUCAUUUGUCAGACAAAAUAAUAAUUUCCUCUGUUUUGCAACAGUGAUGAAUAAUAAAUAGUUUGUGCACUUCAACCUCCUUUAUGUGGAUGAUGGGACACAGGAUAAGACUGGGAAGAGCAAGAUUCAAGUCCAGUAGCACCUGACAGCCCCCCCCCUCAACCUUAGAGAACUCCUCACAACAAUGCACUUCCCAAUGUGGACAUGAACUCAGGAACCAGGGCCUGCAAUAAACAAAGAUGCCAGCUCUGUCCCCAUAUUCACUCCAAUAAUACAAUCACUGGACCUAACAGCACCAGCUAUACCAUCUCAGGCUCAUUCACUUAUUCAUCUUUCAACAUUAUACAUGCCAUUAAAUGUCAGCAAUGCC